RNAcentral lists this ribosomal RNA (509 nucleotides) under uncultured bacterium. Its description in RNAcentral is "partial 16S ribosomal RNA". It matches the Rfam family "Bacterial small subunit ribosomal RNA", at positions 28 to 506 of the family's 1533-position model. The record is from RNAcentral.
GACGAACGCUGGCGGCGUGCUUAACACAUGCAAGUCGAACGAAGAGCGACGGAAGCUUGCUUCUAUCAAUCUUAGUGGCGAACGGGUGAGUAACGCGUAAUCAACCUGCCCUUCAGAGGGGGACAACAGUUGGAAACGACUGCUAAUACCGCAUACGAUCUAAUCUCGGCAUCGAGGAUGGAUGAAAGGUGGCCUCUACAUGUAAGCUAUCACUGAAGGAGGGGAUUGCGUCUGAUUAGCUAGUUGGAGGGGUAACGGCCCACCAAGGCGAUGAUCAGUAGCCGGUCUGAGAGGAGGAACGGCCACAUUGGGACUGAGAAACGGCCCAGACUCCUACGGGAGGCAGCAGUGGGGAAUCUUCCGCAAUGGACGAAAGUCUGACGGAGCAACGCCGGGUGAGUGAUGACGGCCUUCGGGUUGUAAAGCUCUGUUAAUCGGGACGAAAGGCCUUCUGGGGAAUAGUGAGAAGGAUGGCCGGUACCGGAAAAGAAAGCCACGGCUAACUAGGU